GGCCACAAUUUGCUUGGAUGAAGCUAAACAUUUAAUGUCUAGCUUGCACCCUCGCCAAUACCGCUGCGUAGAUUGGGCAAGCCGCGGACAGCAUGGAGUGUGCUGACGGGAAGCCCUUAAAGCGGCAAUUCCUGCAGUCCACAGGGUUGGUUCACCGCGCAACGUUGUGGCCGCCUUGUCCGCACCGAUGGCACACGUUCUCCUUAAGACGGCAUUGGGAGACCUUAUGGUCGAAACCCGCACACCUGUGGCAGGCGUAUGUCCGGAC
This 268-nucleotide long non-coding RNA is filed under the name Drosophila guanche. Lineage: Eukaryota; Metazoa; Arthropoda; Insecta; Diptera; Drosophilidae. The record is from RNAcentral.